Long non-coding RNA from Apis dorsata (giant honeybee), 249 nucleotides. RefSeq lists it as uncharacterized. The transcript is spliced from 2 exons. NCBI's taxonomy places the organism in Eukaryota, Metazoa, Arthropoda, Insecta, Hymenoptera, Apidae. The record is from RefSeq and is a predicted model, not a curated record.
AAUAAUAGUAAUGCUUCAGCCAAUCAAAAAAUCGCUAAGACUUAGCGACAAAACGAAUGCAGUGCGCAUCAUAAUGCGCAUGGUGUUAAUCCAUUGUUGAAAAUCGUGACAAAUUACGUUUUACCGGCAAAAAAUUCAAAACAUCUUGUGCAGAUUGUAAAAGCUUGAUUCGAAAGCGAGAUAAUUUUGAAAGUGUAAUAAUUCUUACAUACUUCAACAAUUAAGAGAUAAUUCGACAAUUUUCAUGCA